RNAcentral lists this ribosomal RNA (449 nucleotides) under uncultured bacterium. RNAcentral's name for it is "bacterial SSU rRNA". It matches the Rfam family "Bacterial small subunit ribosomal RNA", at positions 958 to 1398 of the family's 1533-position model. The record is from RNAcentral.
AACGCGAAGAACCUUACCAGGCCUUGACAUGCAUUGCUAAGCCGGUGAAAGCCGGUGAGCCUCGCAAGAGGCACCUUGCACAGGUGCUGCAUGGCUGUCGUCAGCUCGUGUUGUGAGAUGUUGGGUUAAGUCCCGCAACGAGCGCAACCCCUGUGAACUGUUGCCACCCGGCCGCGAGGCCGGAGCACUCUGUUCAGACUGCCCUGUGAAACGGGGAGGAAGGUGGGGACGACGUCAAGUCAGGAUGGCCCUUACGGCCUGGGCUGCACACGUACUACAAUGCUCAGUACAGAACGAACCGAGACCGCGAGGUGGAGGAAAUCCCUAAAACUGAGCCCAAUUCGGAUCGGAGGCUGCAACUCGCCUCCGUGAAGCCGGAAUCGCUAGUAAUGGCGUAUCAGCUACGACGCCGUGAAUACGUUCCCGGGCCUUGUACACACCGAGACGAC